Molecule: small RNA, 120 nt
Filed under: Salmonella enterica subsp. enterica
Lineage: Bacteria; Pseudomonadati; Pseudomonadota; Gammaproteobacteria; Enterobacterales; Enterobacteriaceae
Description: partial RtT sRNA
Rfam family: RtT RNA
About the family: This family represents a bacterial cis-regulatory element known as RtT RNA. The exact function of RtT is unknown although it is thought that it may be involved in changing the cellular response in relation to amino acid starvation.
Source: RNAcentral
GUGGGGAAGGAUGAGAAGCUUCGACUAAGGUUCGAUUCGAGCGCAGCGAGAAAGCGUUGCCGCAGGCAACGACCCGAAGGGCGAAGCGCGCAGCGCUGAGUCAUCCUUCCCCCACCACCA